This 473-nucleotide ribosomal RNA is filed under the name uncultured bacterium. RNAcentral's name for it is "bacterial SSU rRNA". It matches the Rfam family "Bacterial small subunit ribosomal RNA", at positions 335 to 795 of the family's 1533-position model. The record is from RNAcentral.
ACUCCUACGGGAGGCAGCAGUAGGGAAUUUUCCGCAAUGGACGAAAGUCUGACGGAGCAAUGCCGCGUGAGUGAUGAAGGUUUUCGAAUCGUAAAGCUCUGUUGUAAGGGAAGAAUAGCAAGAAUAGGAAAUGAUUCUUGUCUGACGGUACCUUACCAGAAAGCCACGGCUAACUACGUGCCAGCAGCCGCGGUAAUACGUAGGUGGCAAGCGUUAUCCGGAAUUAUUGGGCGUAAAGCGCAUGCAGGCGGCCUGUUAAGUCAGAUGUGAAAGCCCGGGGCUUAACCUCGGAAUUGCAUUUGAAACUGGCAGGCUAGAGUCUUGUAGAGGGGGGUAGAAUUUCAGGUGUAGCGGUGAAAUGCGUAGAGAUCUGAAGGAAUACCAGUGGCGAAGGCGGCCCCCUGGAGCAAAGACUAGACGCUCAGAUGCGAAAGCGUGGGGAGCAAACAGGAUUAGAUGAUCCCUGGUAGGUC